AGAGUUUGAUCCUGGCUCAGGAUUAACGCUGGCGGCGUGCCUAAUACAUGCAAGUCGAAUGGUUAGCUUGCUAACCAUGGCGAACGGGUGAGUAACACGUAGGCAACCUGUCUAAGAGACGAGGAUAACCAUUGGAAACGAUGGAUAAUACUGGAUAGGAUAUAAUAAGGCAUCUUGUUAUAUUUAAAGAUUUAUCACUUUUAGAGGGGCCUGCGGCGCAUUAGCUAGUUGGUGAGGUAGGGGCCCACCAAGGCGAUGAUGCGUAGCCGGACUGAGAGGUUGAACGGCCACAAUGGGACUGAGAACGGCCCAUACUCCUACGGGAGGCAGCAGUAGGGAAUUUUCGGCAAUGGAACGAAAGUCUGACCGAGCAACGCCGCGUGAACGAAGAAGUAUUUCGGUAUGUAAAGUUCUUUUGUUUGGGAAGAAAAUAAAUUGACGGUACCAAACGAAUAAGCUCCGGCUAACUACGUGCCAGCCGCCGC
This 485-nucleotide ribosomal RNA is filed under the name uncultured bacterium. RNAcentral describes it as "bacterial SSU rRNA". It matches the Rfam family "Bacterial small subunit ribosomal RNA", at positions 8 to 518 of the family's 1533-position model. The record is from RNAcentral.